This 2501-nucleotide long non-coding RNA is filed under the name Homo sapiens (human). RNAcentral's name for it is "non-protein coding lnc-NTSR1-1:1". The record is from RNAcentral. Lineage: Eukaryota; Metazoa; Chordata; Mammalia; Primates; Hominidae.
GAAAAAUGAACGUGGCCUUCGGACACAGGGUGGUCCCUUGCCAGGGACUGGAUGGAACUGGUUCAAUUCCCCGCUCCUGGGCUUCCUGGUGUGCAACGUGAGCCAUGCUCACCCCAGGGUGGCUGGGAAAAAACGCCGGUCCGCUCUGAGCAUUCGUUUCAGUGAUGGCUGUUCUUGUUCACGUGAGAUGUGCCAACUCUACAAUACUAAACCGUUGGGAGAAGCUUCAAGGGGACAGCACCUGGGGAGGGGCAGUGGCGGGCUCCAGGUUGCCCAAGGCUGUCAUGGAGAGGAGGAGACCCCAGUCCAGCCCAGCCUUGUGCCUGCAGUGGAGGUUCCAGUUGUGAAGGGGCUCCAAGUGCCUUGUUCAUCCUUUGCUUGAUAAUGAACCACCUCUGCCAGGUGCCAGCUGUACUGUGCACCUGCAGCUCCACACCCUCUAGGCACCAGCCCCUCCACUCUUUGGCCUCUUCGACAGGGAACCCCGAGGGGACAGUGGAGCAGGCCUGGGGCUGUUCCAGGCAGCAGGGGGGCGCCUGGGUCAGCGUCCCCACCCGCUGCCCUCCCCGGCCUUCCAACUUGCUGUGUGCACAUUAACAACAUGGACGGUCUUUUUCUUUUAUUAUAAAAGUGAUUCAUUCUCUUGUGAAGAUUUAAAUAUGAAAGAGUGGAUCUCCGCUAAUCCCACCCGGUGAUGAUAGCAGCCGACAGAUGGGCGAGCAUAGAGCUCAGACAUUGCCAGCAGCGUCAGAUCCUUAUAUAUCCAGAGCACGGCUCACACGCCACCGCCCUGCUGGCUCUGUCAGCCGCAUGGUCCUCCGCGACACCUGGGGCUCUCCCUCCUUCCUUUGUGUGCACAACCUCAAAGCCAUUUUUUCCAGACUUGGCGUGAAGAUGAUUUUCUGACACGUUGAUGCUUCUGAAGCACAAGGAGGGCCCUGUCUCCACGGUGUCCAAGCAGAGGCUGACAUCCUUUCAGGAGGGAGGUGAUUCGGGCGCAGCUGGGCUGGCGGGAGGCAUGGAGGCUGAGUCCCCUUCCUCACUGCUCUCUACCUGGAGAAGAAACCACCAGACCAUGAGGCCGAGCUGGGGAAAGUUCCGGGGGGCUGCUUGGGCUCUGUGCUCCCUCCACUGGGGCAGGCGGAGGGCCCUGCGUGCUCCUUCCAGGCAGGGGCUGAGGGGACUGUGGAAGCCACGACAGGGGUCUGUGUGAACAGAAGACCCAAGGACAAGGUGCCCCAGCACUCCCAGCCACUAGCAAGGACAGGCAAUUUUCAAAACUUCUCCCCAAACUACAACCUCAGGAAAAGGGGUGGAGAAAACUCCUUUGACAGAGAUUUGGUUUUCACCACCAUGACAGGACAAUGAUGAUGGAUGGAAGCUGUGGCUGGGCGUGGGAAGGCUGAGUGUGCAAAUGUGGGUGGAGUUCUGGGGCCCCGCCCCCGCCAGUCUUCCACUUGGUCCCUGUGAGGACCCACAUGAGGGAAGUGUUGCUUCUGGCCUCAGAACCCAAGGCAGAGCAGGCUGGAGUCCCACCCCAUGGAUCACGAGCCCACGCUGUGACCCUGAGUCCUGGACAUGCGCAGAGGGAGGGUGUGCACGAGCCCGGGAGCUCCUGUCUCUGUCUUAAGAGUGGAGCAUGUCUUAAGAGCUGGCAUGAGGAUCAGAGGGUCCCUUCAGUGCGGCCUUCUAGAAGAACUACAGCAACCAGGCCCUCGCAGGGGGGAGAUGCACCUGCUGGGGCUAAGGAGCGAGUGAAGCCAGCCCCUGAGACACAUGCUCCCAACCCCAUCCUCACCUCCCAAGAGAGGGGGAGCCUCCUGUUAAGCAUCCAAGUCCCAAGUCACCGGCCGGCAUCGGCUGCAGCUCUCUGUGUGUGGAGACAUCUCAUUCUGGUGUCUUCUUUACACAGGUCAGCGCUCACAGGCUCGGCUGUGUCUCAAGACCCAAUUCCUUCGAGUCACUGAGAUGCCCAAGGACAAGGGCAACAGAGAGUGUGAAAAGCUGGAGUAGACAGGACAGAAAACAGGGUGCAGCGUCCCCCAGGUUGGCAGAUAGCCCAGCCCCAGGGACCCCACAGCCAUGGCAACCUGUGUGAAUGAGCCCCAGGAGCAGGGCAGUACACGAUCUGCGCGACUGUGCGGGGCAGCCCUGGGUCUCUGCCUCAGGGGAGAGAUUGUGUCCUCGCCUUUUGUGGUUUCUAGAGGUUCCUGCCCUCCUUGGCUGCACGGCAUCUCCCAGCCUCUCUCUCCCUUCCGUCGUCCCCUCUCCUCCUCUGACCCUGACCCUCCCAGUCCCUCUUAGAGGGGCUGUGAUUAAACUGUGCCCACCCUGACCAUCCAGAAUAAUCUCCCAUCUCAAGGUCCUUAACAGCAUGUGGAACUGCACUAGCCGCCCCAAGGCCCCCAAAAGGCAACCCUGGAUUGGGCCCCCCAAGUUGCCUGGGAUUCAUGGCCACCACCCGGCUCGACGGCUCCAGACCGAAAUGCACCCAGUUAUAG